AGCGAACGCUGGCGGCAAGCUUAACACAUGCAAGUCGAGCGCUGUAGCAAUACAGAGCGGCGGACGGGUGCGUAACACGGGGGAAUCUGCCUUUAGGUUUGGAAUAACUCAGGGAAACUUGAGCUAAUACCGUAUAAUGUCUUCGGACCAAAGAUUUAUCGCCUAAAGAUGAGCCCGCGGUAGAUUAGCUAGUUGGUGAGGUAAUGGCUCACCAAGGCUACGAUCUAUAGCUGGUCUAAGAGGAUGUUCAGCCACACUGGGACUGAGACACGGCCCAGACUCCUACGGGAGGCAGCAGUGGGGAAUAUUGGGCAAUGGGCGAAAGCCUGACCCAGCUAUGCCGCGUGAAUGAUGAAGGCCUUAGGGUUGUAAAGUUCUUUUACCAGGGACGAUGAUGACGGUACCUGGAGAAAAAGCCCCGGCAAACUUCGUGCCAGCCGCCGCAGUAA
This 449-nucleotide ribosomal RNA is filed under the name uncultured bacterium. RNAcentral's name for it is "partial 16S ribosomal RNA". It matches the Rfam family "Bacterial small subunit ribosomal RNA", at positions 29 to 523 of the family's 1533-position model. The record is from RNAcentral.